GGCCAGACUCCUACGGGAGGCAGCAGUCGGGAAUAUUGCGCAAUGGAGGAAACUCUGACGCAGUGACGCCGCGUAUAGGAAGAAGGUUUUCGGAUUGUAAACUAUUGUCCACAGGGAAGAAAAAAGACUGUACCUGUGAAGAAAGCUCCGGCUAACUACGUGCCAGCAGCCGCGGUAAUACGUAGGGAGCAAGCGUUAUCCGGAUUUAUUGGGUUUAAAGGGAGCGUAGAUGGGUUGUUAAGUCAGUUGUGAAAGUUUGCGGCUCAACCGUAAAAUUGCAAUUGAUACUGGCAGUCUUGAGUACAGUUGAGGUAGGCGGAAUUCGUGGUGUAGCGGUGAAAUGCUUAGAUAUCACGCAGAACUCCGAUUGCGAAGGCAGCGCACCGGCGCCCUACUGACGCUCAGGCACGAAAGCGUGGGUAUCGAACAGGAUUAGAUACCCCAGUAAG
This 449-nucleotide ribosomal RNA is filed under the name uncultured bacterium. RNAcentral describes it as "bacterial SSU rRNA". It matches the Rfam family "Bacterial small subunit ribosomal RNA", at positions 329 to 793 of the family's 1533-position model. The record is from RNAcentral.